Shinella sp. DD12 is the source of this 111-nucleotide non-coding RNA. Lineage: Bacteria; Pseudomonadati; Pseudomonadota; Alphaproteobacteria; Hyphomicrobiales; Rhizobiaceae. The record is from Rfam.
AGUUGAUGCACAUCGCGGUUUUCUCCUCCCAGUGCCGCCGCAUCAGCUGUUCCCCUCUGGAGGUUCAUAUCUCCACACUUCAUGGGCCACGGUUUCCGAUGGCCCAUUUUU